RNAcentral lists this transfer RNA (74 nucleotides) under Candidatus Jorgensenbacteria bacterium GWA1_49_17. Its description in RNAcentral is "tRNA-Gly". It matches the Rfam family "tRNA". Rfam says of the family: Transfer RNA (tRNA) molecules are approximately 80 nucleotides in length. Their secondary structure includes four short double-helical elements and three loops (D, anti-codon, and T loops). Further hydrogen bonds mediate the characteristic L-shaped molecular structure. tRNAs have two regions of fundamental functional importance: the anti-codon, which is responsible for specific mRNA codon recognition, and the 3' end, to which the tRNAs corresponding amino acid is attached (by aminoacyl-tRNA synthetases). tRNAs cope with the degeneracy of the genetic code in two manners: having more than one tRNA (with a specific anti-codon) for a particular amino acid; and 'wobble' base-pairing, i.e. permitting non-standard base-pairing at the 3rd anti-codon position. RNAcentral also lists the same sequence under 1 other name. Lineage: Bacteria; Candidatus Joergenseniibacteriota. The record is from RNAcentral.
GCGAGAUUAAUUUAGUGGUAGAAUAUCUGCUUCCCAAGCAGAAAGCACCAGUUCGAUUCUGGUAUCUCGCACAA